This 2056-nucleotide long non-coding RNA is filed under the name Canis lupus familiaris (dog). RNAcentral describes it as "lncRNA (ENSCAFG00000053296.1, ENSCAFG00845007534.1)". The record is from RNAcentral. Lineage: Eukaryota; Metazoa; Chordata; Mammalia; Carnivora; Canidae.
AAUGCUGAUUCUUUCCUUGAUGUUUCCAGCACACUCCUGUUUAGGUCUGGCUGAUAGAAUGUAUCUUGGGUCCAUGCCUAGAUCUAAAGAAGGCUGAGAAGUCUUUUUACUGGGCAUUAUGGCCCAAAGUGAGGUCGGAAUUCCAUUAAUAAGAAAAGUGGGAAAAACAGAUAAGGAGUAGGAAAUUAGCAGUGUUUGAUGACACACUUGUCUUAGUCCUGACUGCUAUAAGAAGGAACCAGCGGUUGGGUGGCUCAUAAACAACAGAAAUGUACAGUUCUAGAAGCUGGAAGUUUGUGAUCAGGGUGCGAUCAUGGUCAGGUGAGAGACCCUCUUACAAGUCAACUUUUUUGCAGCCUCACAUGAUGGAGAACAGAGAACAUCAACCACUCUCCUAACUUUUAUAAGGGUAUGAAUCCCAUUCAUGAGGCCUACAUCCUCAUGACCUCGUCUACUCCUAAUUACUCCCAAAGGCCCCGCCUGAUAGUACUAUCCCACGGUUGUGUAGGAAUGGGGCAGGGGGCAGUAAUAAGAUACCAACCUGUGAACAUUCAGUCCAUAACACCCUUAGAGAUGUUUUUCUUAGAAGAACCAUGUACCCCAGAGAUGAAAUACCACUUUCUAAUCCCAGAAAUAGCUACCAUUUUUAUUUUAAAUGGUAUUUAAAUGUUUUUAUAUUAUAUAUUUAUUUUUAACAUUUUAUUUAUUUAUUCAUGAGAGACACGGAGAGAGAAGAGGCAGAGACACAGGCAGAGGGAGAAGCAGGCUCCAUGCAGGAAGCCCAAUGUGGAACUCUGUCCCAGUACUCCAGGAUCACGCCCUGAGCCAAAGGCAGACCCUCGACCACUGAGCCACCCAGGCGUCCCUAAAUGUUUUUAUUUUAAAUAGCAAUUUUCCUUCCUGUUGAAUCUUUUUUGCUUCUUGUAGCUUAAAAAUUCUAGCAAUUCGAUUUCAAGAGCACUUUUAAAUAAAUGAAUUUGUGAUCUCCAGAUGGUUGGCUUUUAGUCUCUUACAUCAUCAUUGCAAAAGACAUAUCAGUGGCAUUUUUAAGCUCUUUUUUUAGACCUGUGUCUAAGAAUGAUUAAAUUUUCAUUUCCCUAUUAAAACCAAAAAUAACCAUUCUACUUAUUUUCAAACAAUCAAACUCACAGAAAAGUGGAAAGUACAGUUUAAAGAACUUUUUUGUCUUGAGCCAUUUGGGAGUUCAUUGCCAACCUGAUGUCCUAUCACCCCCAAAUACUUAAGCCGAUAUAUACAGGACAUUCUCCUAUAUAAUCACAGUGUAACCAUCAAAAUCAGCAUAUCAAGUUGAUGAUUUCUACCAUCUAAUCCUGAGGCUUCCAUUAAAUUUCAUCCCUUGUCCCAGUAAUAACCUUGAUAGCAAAAUAAAGGGUACACUUUGGAAUGUGUGUUGAGUUCAAUUAUCACAUCUCUUUAAUCUCCUUAAAUCUGAAAUGUUUCCUUAGUCUUUCUUUGGCUUCCACAACUUUGAUACUUCUGAAGAUUAUGGUUAGUUCUUGUGGAGACUAUCCCUCAACUUGAGUGUGUUUGUAUUUAGCAUGAAUAUUACCAAAGUAGUGCUAUUCUUAUUAUAUCUCAUUAGGUGCCGCUCAAUUUGUCCUACUACUGAUGAUGUCCAGUUUAAUCACCCAAUUAAAAUGAUGUCUGCCAGGCUUCUCCACAACUAGGUAACUCCAAAAUAAAUUACUGUUUUUUCCACUUGGAAUUAAUAAGUUUUAAUUUUGUGAGGAGAUACUUUAGAUCUAAAUAAAUAUCUCGUUCCUUAUCAAAUUUUCACUUUUUCAUUUAUAUCAGCAUGGGCUCAUGGUUUUCUCUCUUGUUUAAUGAGUUAAAAUCUGUUACUAUUGUUAUUUAUUUUGAUGCUUAAAUUGUCCUAUAUUUGACUAGUGGGAACUCCUCCAGAUUGGCUUCUGUGUCAUUUUGUCCCAUCAUUCUUUUAGUACUUUUUUUUUCUAGCCCAACAAAAUGUUCCAGACCCAGUGUUGAAAGUGUCCCUUUCUCCAAGGAAUAGGAGUUACCAAAUAAAAUAAAAGUU